AUAGGGGUAAGGGGACAGGGAUACUAGAGUGAUGGAGGUAGAUAUGUAUAGGGGUAAGGGGACAGGGAUACUAGAGUGAUGGAGGUAGAUAUGUAUAGGGGUAAGGUGACAGGGAUACUAGAGUGAUGGAGGUAGAUAUGUAUAGGGGUAAGGGGACAGGGAUACUAGAGUGAUGGAGGUAGAUAUGUAUAGGGGUAAGGUGACAGGGAUACUAGAGUGAUGGAGGUAGAUAUGUAUAGGGGUAAGGUGACAGGGAUACUAGAGUGAUGGAGGUAGAUAUGUAUAGGGGUAAGGUGACAGGGAUACUAGAGUGAUGGAGGUAGAUAUGUAUAGGGGUAAGGUGACAGGGAUACUAGAGUGAUGGAGGUAGAUAUGUAUAGGGGUAAGGUGACAGGGAUACUAGAGUGAUGGAGGUAGAUAUGUAUAGGGGUAAGGUGACAGGGAUACUAGAGUGAUGGAGGUAGAUAUGUAUAGGGGUAAGGUGACAGGGAUACUAGAGUGAUGGAGGUAGAUAUGUAUAAGGGUAAGGUGACAGGGAUACUAGAGUGAUGGAGGUAGAUAUGUAUAGGGGUAAGGUGACAGGGAUACUAGAGUGAUGGAGGUAGAUAUGUAUAGGGGUAAGGUGACAGGGAUACUAGAGUGAUGGAGGUAGAUAUGUAUAGUGGUAAGGUGACAGGGAUACUAGAGUGAUGGAGGUAGAUAUGUAUAGUGGUAAGGGGACAGGGAUACUAGAGUGAUGGAGGUAGAUAUGUAUAGGGGUAAGGUGACAGGGAUACUAGAGUGAUGGAGGUAGAUAUGUAUAAGGGUAAGGUGACAGGGAU
Molecule: long non-coding RNA, 821 nt
Organism: Oncorhynchus keta (chum salmon)
Lineage: Eukaryota; Metazoa; Chordata; Actinopteri; Salmoniformes; Salmonidae
Exons: 5
Source: RefSeq, a predicted model, not a curated record